GAUGAACGCUAGCGGGAGGCCUAACACAUGCAAGCCGAGCGGUAGAGUCUCUUCGGAGACUUGAGAGCGGCGCACGGGUGCGGAACACGUGUGCAACCUGCCUUUAUCUGGGGGAUAGCCUUUCGAAGGGAAGAUUAAUACCCCAUAAUAUACUGGAUGGCAUCAUCUGGUAUUGAAAACUCCGGUGGAUAGAGAUGGGCACGCGCAAGAUUAGAUAGUUGGUGAGGUAACGGCUCACCAAGUCAGCGAUCUUUAGGGGGCCUGAGAGGGUGAUCCCCCACACGGGUACUGAGACACGGACCAGACUCCUACGGGAGGCAGCAGUGAGGAAUAUUGGACAAUGGGUGAGAGCCUGAUCCAGCCAUCCCGCGUGAAGGACGACGGCCCUAUGGGUUGUAAACUUCUUUUGUAUAGGGAUAAACCUAGAUACGUGUAUCUAGCUGAAGGUACUAUACGAAUAAGCACCGGCUAACUCCGUG
RNAcentral lists this ribosomal RNA (479 nucleotides) under uncultured bacterium. RNAcentral describes it as "partial 16S ribosomal RNA". It matches the Rfam family "Bacterial small subunit ribosomal RNA", at positions 28 to 507 of the family's 1533-position model. The record is from RNAcentral.